Molecule: long non-coding RNA, 3288 nt
Filed under: Musa acuminata (dwarf banana)
Lineage: Eukaryota; Viridiplantae; Streptophyta; Magnoliopsida; Zingiberales; Musaceae
Description: long non-coding RNA (MACU_LNC006239)
Source: RNAcentral
AGAGAUGGCGGAUGGCGAGGUCUGUUCUCAUGGCCGCUGCCGCCGCCUCCAUCCAAAUCGCUGUCCUCUGCCUGACUCUCUUGUCGUCCCGGUUCUCCCCCAACCCUCCGUUGGGCCUCGGCUCCGCCCCUCAUUGUACGUUUCCUCUCGCCCCCUGGGUUGCUCCCCCGGGUAAGCUAUGUGUCUUAUGUCUUCGUCAACCCUAGCUCUUCAAUUCCACCUUUUUCUUGAUCUAUUGGAGACAUCCGACGUCCUUCCUUUUGGAUAGUAUAUGUCGAUUUUCGCAUCAAGAUUCCUUCGCUAGCGGUGGCUGGCGAUAACUCGAUCAUUCUUUCAAUUCCUUCGCUAAAUGGUGUGUUUUAUUCAACUGAUUAGCUUUGGAUCACGAAAAUAGUCUCUCUACUCACAAGAUCCGCAGAUGGCAAUUUCUUUGAAAUAACACAUAUUUUAAUCAAAUUAGGCAUUUCCAGUUGAUUUCAGCAUUUGAUUGAUUGGUAUUGUGCUUGGUGUCUUUAGGUGCUUUUCGUUGAUAUAUUAUUGACUGCGACCAUUUCUUUCGCUCCAAGAUUGUAUCUUUCUUGCACUAUACUUACUUUGUUCCUUUAUUUAAAUGAUUGUUUCUUUGAAGCAAGUGAUGUUCGAUUAAAUUAUGCAUUCUCAUUUUCUCCUCCCGUCUUCUAAUUUAAUUUUUAUGGAACCUUAAUUAAAUAGGAUUUGUAGGACUAUUGAAGUCAUUGACUGAAAUUUAUAGGAACAAAACUUAUAGGUCAUGCAUGACAGUAGAACUAAUUGUUUAUUAUUCUUCCAGCUUCAAUUUGAUGAGUUACUGAUAUGUUUUUUUAUACUUCUUCUUGUCUAAGUCCAUAAAAUGAUGUGAACAACUCAGUUCUUGUUUCAUACAAUAAUGUAUUGGCUAUACAUCUGGAGCAGUUGUAUGGAACAAGAAAUUCUAGAUUGAUAAGAAGAGCGAUUUUUAUCAAGGCCAGUUGUUCCAGCAACAUGGCACAGGCAAGGACAUUAUCAAGAAAGAAGAGGCUCUAGACUGGGUGAAAUAAGAACAAAACAAUUGAAGAAUGCUUCAUGAUGUUUAUCGUAAAAUGUCCUCUUUAUUUAUGUUUCACCUUUGUUUGAUGAUUUGUUUUGGACACAACACACUAUCACCUCUGAGUUUGUAUAUGUAAUUGGUGUCAAUUCUACAAACUUGAUUAGACGAAUGGUUUCCUUCGAUAAUGUGUUACGUGGAUUUUACGUCUUCAUGAUGUCAGUGAUGCAUUUAUUUUAGAUAUCUUAGCUGAGCUUUGCUGGUUCUUUCUAAAGACUGAUCUAAUUGGUGUUGCCUUUACAAGAUAAUUGCUAUAUUUUUGGAUUUUUUGUUUCUUAUAUUUGAGUAUGUGAAGACUUCUCAAUUUGAGGAACAAAAAGAGGCAAUUUAAAACAGUUUUUUUUGUUCUUGAACAGUUGAUUUUGCAACUUCUAGUUACUGGCCUGAAAAUUGCCUUCUAAGCUACUUUGAUUGGGACAUGAAUACGUGAAAUUUAAGCUUUAUAGUUAUUAGGCAGACCAAGUCAUGUAAUCAGCUUUAUCAAGCUUUUCAUCACAUUGAAUUCAUUUCUUGUUAGAGCAUAACAUUCUGUAGAUGUUCAACACAAACUCUGCUGAAGGCUAGAGAACUAGCACAUCAUGAUGUCCAGGUUGAAUGAAGUCUUAAUAGGAAUUUUCAUGGUUUAGCAGAAUUUUCACUCUAUGAAUCAGUAACAUCAUGCAACACUUCCUCAUUUACCGUGUGCCUGAGAACAGAGGAUCAUUUUAUUUUGCAGGUAUUUGUGGACUAUAUAGAUUUUGCUAAAGAGUUGGAGUCAUCAACCAUCUCAGAUGAACCUUUUGCCCAACUGGUUUUGUAAAACACCUAAAUCACAUCUCAGUUUGUACAUAGGUUGUUUUGCAAACCAUUUUAGUGGAAGCAAGCAACACAAAUUUGAAAUUGCAUUUAUUGGUAUUUAAGGUAAAUAUUAAACCGAUCUUGUCAUUCACAGUUAACCAUUUUUAUUAUACAAGUGCUUGAUUAUUAUUAUUUUUACAUCGCCUUCGCUAUGUUCAUAUUGGCACGGCAAUCUAGCAUUUGUCUGAUGCCUUCAAUCCAGAUUCCCUCAUCACAUUUUUUGCAUUCAAAUUCGAUUAACCUUUCUGGUGUUCUGAUCCCAAAGUAAGCCCUCUGAUCACUUCCAUCUUCCACUUCUCUUCCAGGCCAUGCUGGUAUGUUGGCGCAGACAUCAAUUACAAAACCUGCAAGAACAGGAACACAGCUUUAUCUACGUGCCAUCGGAAUCGCAGUGUGUAAGUUUUCCUACUAAUCUUACAUUUCUUCUUUUUCACAAAGGUCCCAGCCAUGUGUGUACUUUUUGUUUUGACAACCACCUGCAAUUUGUUGCACUUUCUUAGCUAACAAAAAUAUAGAUCAUGAAAAAUCUUUUAGAUUUUAGACAACUUACCUGCCAAUUGGAGUUUAUGUAUACUGAAACUUGCUUCCAAUGAAGAAUACCUGCCACAGAUGGAUAUCUCAACACGCAUUUAUUUAUAUUACUAACUUUUGACAUAAUAAUGUGGUGAUUGCAGAUUCUGCUCUAAAUAAGUGAUCUUGACAAGUUCAGAUCCUUCAUAACUAUUGUGAUUAGUGCAGUGAGGUCAAUAGUUUUGGCUGAUGAAUUCUGUAGUUGAAUUCAAAGUUCUACGAAAGAACUGUAAUUUAUACCUUUUCUUGUGCGUUUGACGAGCUCUCCACCUUUGGCUACAAAGGUGAAGGCUGAUGAGCAUCCAUCUGAUGAUUCUUUGUCGUCCCCAGCUGCUGUUGCACCUUGAAUCUCCUUGUAAAGCCUUGCCCUCAAUGUCGCUGCGCCUCGUAAGGCUGCAGUACAACAUGCCACAUCUUAGAGCUGGACUACAAGCUGUCAUAAGAGCAAUGCAUGGCUGCUCACAUGAACCUACUUCUCUUGCAUUUAGAUGUUAUAUGAUUCUGAUAGCUAGUGUUUUGCCGACUGUGUUCAUUUUUCGGAUGGCUUGAUCUGUUUGUGGAUGAACUUUUUUGUUUGGAGACCUGAAUGCUUUCUUUUGUAUUGAUCUGAGAUGUUCUUAAUGUGUGCAGACUGAGUCAGAUUGAAGCCUCCAUGAAGAACCAAUACCUGUUGCAGCUCCUGCAGUGAGCGCCAUGAUGUCGCCACUGGUCUGUGCACCAACUGCAGAGUGGACGACCUUCAAGAUCUGAUCAUGGGCGGCGCCCAUCGUCUGCGCGAU